GAGGGGAGCUAGCGUUAUUCGGAAUUACUGGGCGUAAAGCGCACGUAGGCGGCUUUGUAAGUUAGAGGUGAAAGCCCGGGGCUCAACUCCGGAAUUGCCUUUAAGACUGCAUCGCUUGAAUCCAGGAGAGGUGAGUGGAAUUCCGAGUGUAGAGGUGAAAUUCGUAGAUAUUCGGAAGAACACCAGUGGCGAAGGCGGCUCACUGGACUGGUAUUGACGCUGAGGUGCGAAAGCGUGGGGGGCAAACAGGAUUAGAUACCCUGGUAGUCCACGCCGUAAACGAUGAUAACUAGCUGUCCGGGCACUUGGUGCUUGGGUGGCGCAGCUAACGCAUUAAGUUAUCCGCCUGGGGAGUACGGUCGCAAGA
This 367-nucleotide ribosomal RNA is filed under the name uncultured bacterium. Its description in RNAcentral is "bacterial SSU rRNA". It matches the Rfam family "Bacterial small subunit ribosomal RNA", at positions 527 to 893 of the family's 1533-position model. The record is from RNAcentral.